UGACUGUUUAAUUUAAACAAAGCAUCUUGAAGGCCCACGGUGGGUGUUGAUGCAAUGUGAUUUCUGCCCAGUGCUCUGAAUGUUGAAGUGAAGAAAUUCAGUGAAGCAUGGGUAAACAGUGGGAGUAACUAUGACUCUCUUAAGGAGCCAAAUGCCUCAUCAUCUAAUUAGUGAUGCGCAGGAAUGGAUGAAUGAGAUUCCCACUGUCCCUACCUACUAUCUAGCGAAACCACAGCCAGGGGAAUGGGCUUGGCAGAAUCAGCGGGGAAAGAAGACCCUGUUGAGCUUGACUCUAGUCUGGCACUGUGAAGAGACAUGAGAGGUG
This is a long non-coding RNA of Gavialis gangeticus (Gharial), 325 nucleotides long. RefSeq lists it as uncharacterized. Lineage: Eukaryota; Metazoa; Chordata; Crocodylia; Gavialidae. The record is from RefSeq and is a predicted model, not a curated record. The transcript has 2 exons.